ACUUAACCGAUGUGGGAUCCGUUCAACGAUUACAUAUUAAAGUUUUAUUCUAAGUUAUUUUUCCAUUAUUUUGAUGGAAUAUAAAUAGAUAUCAAGUAACGUGUUAAAAACUUAAAACCAGUGUUCAAGAAAGCGCUAGGCGCUAAGCGGGCGGUGACUCAGUGCCUAGCGCCUAGAACGCCUAAUCGGGGCCUAGACGAUUUUUUAGGCGGUUUAGACGUUUAUAACAUAAUACAACAUUAUAAAUAUGAUAUUAUAUAUAAAAGUUAUAUAAAAUAUUAAUAUAAAACUAAAAAUUAUGAAAUUAUAAACAAAAACUAGAUAAAAUAUUUAUUUAUAUUUAUAUUAAACAAUAUAUGAAUAUUUAUAACUAUAUAUAUAUAUAUAUAUAUAUAUAUAAAACUCUAAUUGAAAUUGAAAAAAUACAUUAAACAAGAUCUAUGUAAUUUUAGGCGGUCAAGGCGGUUAUCUAGGCGUCGAAUGAGAGCCUAGCGCCUAGUCGGGGCCUAGGCGACCGCCUAGACCGCUUUUUAGAACACUAGUUAAAACUAAUUGAUUAAUGAUUUUAUAAAUUUGAUAAUAUGUCUUAAAAUAUUUAAAUGCAAUUUAGCAAAAUGUCAGUUUUUAGUAUUUUUUUCCCCGCUAAUUUGUAGUUUAAUAUGCUCUGGGAAGCUAAUAUGUAUUUUUAACAACACACUUUUGAUCAUGAAUCCCAUUUGUCUUAAGAAAAAAUAAUAAUAGAGGAAUUAUGAAUUGCUCAAUUUGUUUGUCGUUAAAAUGGCUGCAGGGAAAAAAAAAAAAAAAAACAGAGGAACAUGAAAGUUUUUUCAUAUGAAAUAUUCAAUUAUUUUAGAUAUAUCUUUGUUAUCUCAUUUUCUUUACAUUCGAUGAGUAUAUCGGAAAUUAAAUUCAAGAAUCAAUACUUAUGUAUAAUGGUGGAAUUUUGUUUGCAUAUAUUUGAGAGAUGAAAAGACAUAAACUAAUGAUCAAUGGUGUAGUUUGUCUUCCUUUGUACCCUAAACGUAUGUGACACUUAUCACAGAAGGCAUGUGUUAUCACUCUCAUCAGACUAGCCUUCUCUCAUGUACAUGUAUUAGUUCCAUAAUUUUUUGUGAUUUUAAUUGUAUGCUAAACUUGCAAGUUCAAAACAUACAUUUAUUUUUAUUUCCAAAAAUCAUGAAACCUUAUAUCAUUUUGAAGAGACAAUAGCUGACUUGCCCGAUUGCAGAUGUUUCUCAAAAAAAGUGUAUGCCAAACUAAAAAAAAAAAGUGUAUGCCAAACUCGAUAUGCUUAGUUUGUUGAUGUUGACCGGAUUGGUGGCCAGAUAGACAGAUGUAGACGACAAGAUAUAUAUAAAGUGAGGCAGUUGAUACUGUAUUCUUUCUAUUAAUAUUCUGCUUCUGCCGUAGAACGAGAUCUAGAGACAGUUGAAUUGGCUAUGUGUUGAUUAAUUGUUUGCUUAGUUUUUUUUUUUGCUUCACAUAGUAUGUAAGUGAAGUUAUACACACUUUUCAUAAUGACGAAUCCUGAAUCUAUUAGUACUAGCUAAUAACCCUACAUCCAACAAUAUAGUAGUAACUCUUUUUCUAUAUGCAUCUCCAUCAAAAUUAAGGAAUUGUGAUUUCAUUUCGAAAUAUCAUUGUCAAAAUCCAGAUCAUACCACAAAGGACCUAUCAGAUAAGACACUGAUAUUUGAAACUUUUUUUCUAAAUCUCCCCCUGUCAUUUUCAAUGUGAAUCAUCACGAUCUGGAAUCAGAUCAUGACACUCAAAAAAAUGAGUCAGACACUAUAUCUAUCUAUGCACUGAGUUGGCCAAAAUUGGAAGAUACAAAAGAGGAGAAAUAAAUGUUUUGUGAUAUUUUUAUCGGAUCCAAUCGUAACUAGGAAAGAAUCACGUGAAUUAGAAAACAACUAAACCAAAACGCAUCAGACUUUUAUAAUUCUCUAUAUAAUACGUAGCAAUAAUUCAAAAUAACCACGCAUGCGUCUCCACUGCACUCUCCCACCACCAACUCCGUGCGACAAACCUAAAAAGCUUCUUUUUAUUUCUUGUCGCGACUCGCGACACUGAUUUUCUUUAAAUUAAUUAACCAAAAUUAGUUUUUUAACCCACAGACCAUAACUGAAAUUCAGACACUCACUCACAUCAGUCAGUAGGUACACCUUACACAGGCUGUCGACACCUAAGUACAUUCUAAUUUACUAAUCAACACUUGUAACUUGUUAAUUAAUCUUAAAUCUUAACACACUUAAAAAUACUAAUCAUCCCCCAUGUAUCGCCGGCUCUACGCUUCCGGCGGAUAAAUCAAGAGUAAGAUUCUUAUUAAUAAUAAAAAAAAACUAGAAAUUCUUAAAACACAAACCAAAUUAAAAUUAAACACAAAAAAGAGUACAAUAACCAAGUUCAUUUAACUUAAAAAUAAAAUAAAAACAAAUUGAGACAAUUCUCCAUACUCCGGAGGUGUUUUUUCCUACCUUUUUCAAGAACUCUCCUCCGGCGGCGGCGAUGAAGAUUCCGGUUUUCUGCAGAGAAUCAUAUGCAUCGGAGAGAAUAUUCCGGUUUCACCUCCUCUGGUCAAAUAAUCAGCAGUCUUAAACAACAUCUCAUGAACAUCAACAGUUCCUUUAGGAGCAACUCCAACAGCAGACAAAAUCUGAACCACAAUGUGAUUCCUCCAAUAAGCAAGCCUACCCAUCUUAAGCCUAGUCCACCAUGGCUUAGCCGGUGGACUCGCCAGAUCCUUCUCCUUCACUAUCUCAAACCCAACCUUUUUAGCAGUCUCAGCAAUAUCCACGUAAGCCCUAAGCCCAGGUAACGCAUCUCCUCUCUCGAUCCCUUGGAUUACCUCCACGUGUUCAUCAUCCUCCGCCUUAAAUUUCUCCGUCGUUACCCACUCGUAGGACACAUACAUAGAUCCGGGUUUCAACACCCUGUAGAUCUCUGCGUACACUUCUUCUAACUUCGGUGCGUGACACGUGGCUUCGAUCGAAUAAGCACCA
This 3002-nucleotide long non-coding RNA is filed under the name Arabidopsis lyrata. Its description in RNAcentral is "long non-coding RNA (ALYR_LNC003039)". The record is from RNAcentral. Lineage: Eukaryota; Viridiplantae; Streptophyta; Magnoliopsida; Brassicales; Brassicaceae.